GAUUGAACGCUGGCGGCAUGCCUUACACAUGCAAGUCGAACGGCAGCACGGGGCAACCUGGUGGCGAGUGGCGAACGGGUGAGUAAUAUAUCGGAACGUACCCAGAAGUGGGGGAUAACGCAGCGAAAGUUGCGCUAAUACCGCAUACGAUCUACGGAUGAAAGUGGGGGAUUCGCAAGGACCUCAUGCUUUUGGAGCGGCCGAUAUCUGAUUAGCUAGUUGGUGAGGUAAAGGCUCACCAAGGCAUCGAUCAGUAGCUGGUCUGGGAGGACGACCAGCCACACUGGAACUGAGACACGGUCCAGACUCCUACGGGAGGCAGCAGUGGGGAAUUUUGGACAAUGGGGGCAACCCUGAUCCAGCAAUGCCGCGUGAGUGAAGAAGGCCUUCGGGUUGUAAAGCUCUUUUGUCAGGGAAGAAACGGUGGUCUCUAAUAUAGAUUGCUAAUGACGGUACCUGAAGAAUAAGCACCGGCUAACUACGUGCCAGCAGCCGCGGUAAUACGUAGGGUGCAAGCGUUAACCGGAAUUACUGGGCGUAAAGCGUGCGCAGGCGGUUAUGUAAGUCAGAUGUGAAAUCCCCGGGCUUAACCUGGGAAUGGCAUUUGAGACUGCAUGGCUAGAGUGUGUCAGAGGGGGGUAGAAUUCCACGUGUAGCAGUGAAAUGCGUAGAGAUGUGGAGGAAUACCGAUGGCGAAGGCAGCCCCCUGGGAUAACACUGACGCUCAUGCACGAAAGCGUGGGGAGCAAACAGGAUUAGAUACCCUGGUAGUCCACGCCCUAAACGAUGUCUACUAGUUGUCGGGUCUUAAUUGACUUGGUAACGCAGCUAACGCGUGAAGUAGACCGCCUGGGGAGUACGGUCGCAAGAUUAA
Molecule: ribosomal RNA, 874 nt
Filed under: uncultured bacterium
Lineage: Bacteria
Description: bacterial SSU rRNA
Rfam family: Bacterial small subunit ribosomal RNA
Source: RNAcentral